This is a long non-coding RNA of Acipenser ruthenus (sterlet), 826 nucleotides long. RefSeq lists it as uncharacterized. The record is from RefSeq and is a predicted model, not a curated record. Lineage: Eukaryota; Metazoa; Chordata; Actinopteri; Acipenseriformes; Acipenseridae. The transcript is spliced from 2 exons.
AUAUUGAUUUGAUGUAGAUUUUUUUUCUGUUCACUCACUUUGCAUUUUGUUAAUUGAUAAAUAUAUUGUGAGGAUAGGGCGGAGGCCCUUUAAGAAAUGGCUGUCUGGUUGAAAACCACAUUCCCCAGAAGCCCUGGGGGUUAAUGAAUUGGGAGGAGUCUGCUGAUAUAUAAGGAAGCCAGCAGAUCACUUAGGGGGCUGUGGGGGAUACACUGACGGAGUUCUACAGGAUUCUAGUUGUUGGAAGGUACUGUUUUUGUGUGUGGAAGUUUUUCUUGCAAAGUCGUUUGGAUUACAAAUGUGUUUCCUGGAAAAUACAGUUCACCACGAUAGCAGGAGCUGUCGUUCUGUUUCAACGCGCUGCAGUGUGUUUCCUGGAGGUACUGUACACCAAGAUAGCAGGGGCUAUCAUAUGGUUUCUACGCACUCCAGUUCACUACUUGGAUUACAGUUUUCCACAAUAGCAGGAACUGUCGUACGGUUCAACGUGCUCCAGCAGAGAGAGCCUGUUCUGGUCUACUUACCCGUGUGGUCAACGUGCUCCAGCCGGGAUAGCCAGUUCCAGCUCACCGUGCUGCAGCAGAGGGAGCCAGCACCGGAACACCCCAACCUGUGCUUGGCACUUCAGCCGGUUGUACACUGAAGGACUCAGGGUCUGCAGCCAAGAGACCUUAUAGACUGUACCCACUUGAACAAGUGAACUCCUGGGGUAGGUUUAGAUAGGGACUAUAAGUGAGAUAGUUAGUAGCCCGUACAGGGCAUGAUACUUUGGGUGGGGGUGAUAUACGUUUGCUUAUGGUUUAAAUUAAAGUAAUUCACCUGUGUA